Non-coding RNA from Aeribacillus pallidus, 193 nucleotides. It matches the Rfam family "6S / SsrS RNA". From Rfam's summary of the family: E. coli 6S RNA was the first non coding RNA to be sequenced, but its function was unknown until recently. Lineage: Bacteria; Bacillati; Bacillota; Bacilli; Caryophanales; Bacillaceae. The record is from Rfam.
UAAGUCCUGAUGUGUGCGUCGUACACCUAGUUUUGACCGAACAACGAUUUAAAUGGGAGCCCGGAGUUUCUAAAGUGAGUAAAUGCCUCUUAUGCAUAUGGCACGAGGACUUACAAAGCUUUAGAACAGGGCACCCACCUGCUGAGAGCGGGUUCAAAACGAAGGAAACGGCGACGGCACAAUUGGGACUUUU